Molecule: long non-coding RNA, 302 nt
Organism: Dermacentor silvarum
Lineage: Eukaryota; Metazoa; Arthropoda; Arachnida; Ixodida; Ixodidae
Exons: 4
Source: RefSeq, a predicted model, not a curated record
AAAUGGUGCUGCACACGUCGAAAAGGCUCAGAAAUCUGUCCUUAGAAAAGGGCAAGAGCACCAAAGGAAUUAUAACUGCCAUGGCCUCUAUGGCACCUUUGUCACAGGAGCAUGCUGACAUGGACAUAUUCACUGGAGAGGCCAUCGAUGUUGUCAUCGGAUCCUCAAGAGAUGACGGAAAGGUGUAUGCUGGAUCCGGGCAAUGAAUAGAAAAGGCUGCUUGGGGGACAUUGUUGCGGUCUACGUCUGACUAUGUUCUGCCGUAUGGCGUCCACAACGUAUUGGAUGCCAGAUGAGCUUAA